UACGGGGGGGGCUAGCGUUAUUCGGAAUUAUUGGGCGUAAAGGGCGCGUAGGCGGCUUGACAAGUCAAAGGUGAAAUCCCUCGGCUCAACUGAGGAACUGCCUUUGAAACUGUCUGGCUUGAGGCCGGGAGGGGGUAGCGGAAUUCCCAGUGUAGCGGUGAAAUGCGUAGAUAUUGGGAGGAACACCAGUGGCGAAGGCGGCUACCUGGACCGGUUCUGACGCUGAUGCGCGAAAGCGUGGGUAGCAAACAGG
RNAcentral lists this ribosomal RNA (253 nucleotides) under uncultured bacterium. RNAcentral describes it as "partial 16S ribosomal RNA". It matches the Rfam family "Bacterial small subunit ribosomal RNA", at positions 524 to 776 of the family's 1533-position model. The record is from RNAcentral.